This 248-nucleotide ribosomal RNA is filed under the name uncultured bacterium. RNAcentral's name for it is "partial 16S ribosomal RNA". It matches the Rfam family "Archaeal small subunit ribosomal RNA", at positions 473 to 720 of the family's 1478-position model. The record is from RNAcentral.
ACACCGGCAGCUCUAGUGGUAGCAGUUUUUAUUGGGCCUAAAGCGUCCGUAGCCGGUUUAAUAAGUCUCUGGUGAAAUCCUGCAGCUUAACUGUGGGAAUUGCUGGAGAUACUAUUAGACUUGAGAUCGGGAGAGGUUAGAGGUACUCCCAGGGUAGAGGUGAAAUUCUGUAAUCCUGGGAGGACCGCCUGUUGCGAAGGCGUCUGACUGGAACGAUUCUGACGGUGAGGGACGAAAGCUAGGGGCGC